CCUACGGGUGGCAGCAGUGAGGAAUAUUGGUCAAUGGGCGCGAGCCUGAACCAGCCAAGUAGCGUGAAGGAUGACGGCCCUCCGGGUUGUAAACUUCUUUUAUAAAGGAAUAAAGAGAGGCACGUGUGCCUUUUUGUAUGUACUUUAUGAAUAAGGAUCGGCUAACUCCGUGCCAGCAGCCGCGGUAAUACGGAGGAUCCGAGCGUUCUCCGGAUUUAUUGGGUUUAAAGGGAGCGUAGAUGGGUUGUUAAGUCAGGUGUGAAAGUUUUCGGCUCAACCGUAAAAGUGCAAUUGAUACUGGCAGGCUUGAGUGCAGUAGAGGUAGGCGGAAUUCGUGGUGUAGCGGUGAAAUGCUUAGAUAUCACGAAGAACUCCGAUUGCGAAGGCAGCUUACUAAGCUGCCACUGACAUUGAUGCUCGAAAGUGUGGGUAUCAAACAGGAUUAGAUACCCGAGUAGUC
Molecule: ribosomal RNA, 460 nt
Filed under: uncultured bacterium
Lineage: Bacteria
Description: partial 16S ribosomal RNA
Rfam family: Bacterial small subunit ribosomal RNA
Source: RNAcentral